CACGGCGCACGGGUGGAAACACGUGGGUAAUCUGCCCUCUGAUGGGGAAUAACCCGCCGAAAGGCGGGCUAAUUCCGCAUAACAUUCCUUGGACUCCGGUUCGAGGAUUCAAAGGCGUAAGUCGUCGGAGGUGGAGCCCGCGCCCGAUUAGCUAGUUGGUGAGGUAACGGCUCACCAAGGCAAUGAUCGGUAGCUGGUCUGAGAGGAUGGCCAGCCACACUGGAACUGAGACACGGUCCAGACUCCUACGGGAGGCAGCAGUGGGGAAUCUUGCACAAUGGGCGAAAGCCUGAUGCAGCGACGCCGCGUGGGGGAUGAAGCAUUUCGGUGUGUAAACCCCUUUCGACUGGGACGAAUGCCUCGCAAGAGGAGUGACGGUACCAGUAUAAGAAGCCCCGGCUAACUACGUGCCAGCAGCCGCGGUAAGACGUAGGGGGCCAGCGUUGUUCGGAAUUACUGGGUGUAAAGGGUUCGUAGGCGGUGUAGCAAGUUGGGAGUGAAAUCUCUGGGCUCAACUCAGAGGCUGCUUCCAA
This 533-nucleotide ribosomal RNA is filed under the name uncultured bacterium. Its description in RNAcentral is "bacterial SSU rRNA". It matches the Rfam family "Bacterial small subunit ribosomal RNA", at positions 94 to 630 of the family's 1533-position model. The record is from RNAcentral.